Non-coding RNA from Danio rerio (zebrafish), 1774 nucleotides. NCBI's taxonomy places the organism in Eukaryota, Metazoa, Chordata, Actinopteri, Cypriniformes, Danionidae. The record is from Ensembl.
AAACGAGGAAGUCAAGUCAAGUCCGCCAUUUCAUCUUCUUCUUUAUAUCGGAAAAGAAAGGAAUCAUGAAAGGAUGCAAGCUGAAGGAAAGGACAACUCUUACAUCAGUGCAUUACUAAUUGUUUGACUUCAUCAUCAAGCACAUCAGACGGUGCGGUGGUACAGUGGAUAGCUCUGUUGCCUCCCAGCAAAAAUGUUUCUGGUUCGAGCAUCGGCUGGGUCAGUUGGCAUUUCUGUGUGAAGUUUGUAUGUUCUCCACGUGUUGGCGUGGGUCUCCUCCGGGUGCUCCGGUUUCCCCCACAAGACAUGCGGUACAGGUGAAUUGGCUCAGAUUGUGAUGGACCGGGAAUGCGACACCAGUUACUCUUAAGUCAAGAACCAAAUGAAUCACCAGAGUACAGAUUAUGGAGGUUCCUUGUAAAGAUGAACCCAGGGAAGGAUCGAAAGUGGAGAAGACCAGAUCAAGAAAGACUACAUCAAGAUCUGCGGUCAGUUCAAAGGUACUUUCACUAAUUACCAAGAUUUCAGACUAUGAAUUGAUGGAGUAAACUUUGAGUGUCAGAUCUUCCUAGCAAAAAUUCUUCCCAGUGUCUUGUAGUAGAAGUGAUGCAGUCAAUCAAGUUUACAUUAUUUCGUAAAUUGCUUUCCGAUUUAAUAAAAAUAUAUUAACCAAACUUGAUUAAUGUAACAAUUUUGAUGAAAAGGGCAUGUUUUACUAAAGCUUUUAGCACAAAGGCACCCCCAUCUUGUAAUAUUGCUGUGUCUGACGUCACAGGGUUGGUAUGCUGGAAACAUUUUUGAAUGAGGUAUUUGUAUGAUUUAUACAUAGUCUGUCUUAAAGCGUCACUAAAUUGUACAGGCAUUACAGGUCAAAGCAAUCUGUUAUUACAUUUAUCAAAAUAAACAAUAAGGCUCUUAAAACACUGCUUUGAAAAAUGUAGAAAAUGUAAAGAAAUAUUUCAAAUACCUCAAAUGAAAUGAAGUCAUUUGUUUUAUUAUUUUUAAAAUAUAUAUUUUUUGUAAAGUCAUUUCUUUAUAAAUAUGUAAAAAAAAAUCCAAGUAUUAUAAAAGUUAUUUAAGCAACAAAUUUGCCAGAUUGUAAAGGCAGACACAGAAUGAGCAAACAAGAAAAACCGUGUAAAAUGUGUAAAUAAAAGGCUACAUUUUGAAUUUUUACAUCUUUUCAUCAUAUACGUAAAACCUUCCUAAGCUUGAAAAUAUAUUUCCUUAAAAUAAACUUCCUUUGUUAGUGCAAAUUUCUCUUUAUGUAGUCUUGUAAUUAAACAAUUAAACCAUUCAAACAAGUUUACACUUAAAAAAAGGUCCAUAAUGAAAAUCCGAUUUUUUUUUUUCAAAUGUAACUAAUUAAAAUAGUACCAUGUACUUUUACUCUGUAUUAGUAUUAUUUACUAAAAUUUGUUUUAUUUUAGCAAUGUAAUAGUAUUUCUAGUCCUUUAAUUUAAUGUAAUUUAAUUUUCAGUUCUCUUUCCAUCUACGAAAACAUAAAAAAACAAUAAUUUCACAAGCACAUUUAAAAUAGGUUUAAUACUAUGAAAUAUUAUAUUAAUAUUAUUAUUAUUAUUAUUUUUAUAAAUCGAUAGAUAGUUCCUAUGGAAUGUUUUUAUGUAUUGCUGAGAAUACAUUUCAGGUGUUCAAUACGUUGCUUGUCAGUCUUAAAAAUAAAAAUAGGUGCUUAAAAAAGUGCUUAAAAGUCUAAUCGAGUUGUGCCUGUAUGUACUCUGCAAACAGCACCUUUUAAUUGUUGUCUUCUCCU